This 439-nucleotide ribosomal RNA is filed under the name uncultured bacterium. RNAcentral's name for it is "partial 16S ribosomal RNA". It matches the Rfam family "Bacterial small subunit ribosomal RNA", at positions 339 to 795 of the family's 1533-position model. The record is from RNAcentral.
CUACGGGCUGCAGCAGUGAGGAAUAUUGCACAAUGGGGGGAACCCUGAUGCAGCAACGCCGCGUGGAGGAUGACGCAUUUCGGUGUGUAAACUCCUUUUAUAUGUCAAGAAAAUGACGGUAGCAUAUGAAUAAGCACCGGCUAACUCCGUGCCAGCAGCCGCGGUAAUACGGAGGGUGCAAGCGUUACUCGGAAUCACUGGGCGUAAAGGACGCGUAGGCGGUUUGGAAAGUCAGGUGUGAAAUCCUACAGCUUAACUGUAGAACUGCACUUGAAACUUCUAAUCUAGAGUAUGGGAGGGGGAGAUGGAAUUAGUGGUGUAGGGGUAAAAUCCGUAGAUAUCACUAGGAAUACCUAAAGCGAAGGCGAUCUCCUGGAACAUUACUGACGCUAAGGCGUGAAAGCGUGGGGAGCAAACAGGAUUAGAUACCCUUGUAGUC